This 459-nucleotide ribosomal RNA is filed under the name uncultured eukaryote. RNAcentral's name for it is "partial 18S ribosomal RNA". It matches the Rfam family "Eukaryotic small subunit ribosomal RNA", at positions 530 to 889 of the family's 1831-position model. The record is from RNAcentral.
CCCUUAUUAGAGUAACAAGUUAGAGGGCAAGUCUGGUGCCAGCAGCCGCGGUAAUUCCAGCUCUAAUAGCGUAUAUUAAUACUGUUGCAGUUAAAACGCUCGUAGUUGAACUUAGAAAUUAUUACAAGGUAUUUUGCUUGAUUGUAAAAUUCUUGCUUAAUUCUUAUCUACUAGAUACUCUAUUCUGUACUUAAUUGUAUGGAAUAUCACCUAGCCAGUGGAACUUUGGUGGAAUAAUGCCUUUUUAAUACCAGAGUGUAAAUACUUGAAGUGUUAUCAAGGGAUCACAUUAUUUUAUUGAAGUGGGGUUCUAGUUAUUUUACUUUGAGUAAAUUAGAGUGUUCAAAGCAGCCUUUAGGGGCUUUGAAUAGAUUUAGCAUGGGAUAAUAGAAAAGGAUUUGAUGAUCCAUUUGUUGGUUUGAAUUAAUCAAAUAAUGAUUAAUAGGGACAGUUGGGGGC